GUUGGGUUUUUGUUGCUUUGCUUGUGUAAAGAGCGCUUUCUGUCUUUUUUUUUUUCUUCUCUUCCAGGGCUAAUGAUUGUUACCCCCUAAAAUGUUCCUUUUUUUGGCCCCUUCUCUUUGCAAGAGCUAAAAGGCUCUCUGGCCAUGCCACUGCUCUCCUUUUGCAGUGUUUUGUGUGUGAAGCAAGAGAAGGUUCUGGGGAGGUAGAGUCUGGCUUCAGCCGGAGAAGCAGCAAGUAGGACACGCGCUGACCUUUGGCUUGCGUUGCGGCGUCUCGGGGAGAAGACAGCUUUGCCCGCACCAGCCGCCUGCCUUUGCUCGCGUGGGAAACACCGGUCCCGGGGUACCGUGAGGGGGAGAGAACAGAGAGGACCAAACCAGCAGGCACCGGAGAUGAACACGUGCAGAGCUGCGGAACGGCAGCAUGUAAUGGUGCACUAAUCGCCUUCUCUUUUCUCAGGUGCUGGCUCAAAAGUGACUCAGUACUUGAUCAAUACCUCUAG
Molecule: long non-coding RNA, 503 nt
Filed under: Struthio camelus australis
Lineage: Eukaryota; Metazoa; Chordata; Aves; Struthioniformes; Struthionidae
Description: lncRNA (ENSSCUG00000000808.1)
Source: RNAcentral